CGGACGGGUGAGUAACGCGUGGGUAACCUGCCUCAUACAGGGGGAUAACAGUUGGAAACGGCUGCUAAUACCGCAUAAGCGCACAGUACCGCAUGGUACGGUGUGAAAAACUCCGGUGGUAUGAGAUGGACCCGCGUCUGAUUAGGUAGUUGGUGGGGUAACGGCCUACCAAGCCGACGAUCAGUAGCCGACCUGAGAGGGUGACCGGCCACAUUGGGACUGAGACACGGCCCAA
Molecule: ribosomal RNA, 235 nt
Filed under: uncultured bacterium
Lineage: Bacteria
Description: partial 16S ribosomal RNA
Rfam family: Bacterial small subunit ribosomal RNA
Source: RNAcentral